Molecule: ribosomal RNA, 602 nt
Filed under: Zygaena trifolii diffusemarginata
Lineage: Eukaryota; Metazoa; Arthropoda; Insecta; Lepidoptera; Zygaenidae
Description: partial 12S ribosomal RNA
Source: RNAcentral
UGCGGUUAUACAAAAAUUAAAUUGAAUUUUUUUAGGAUUUAAUAAAUAAAUAUUUAAAUUAAUAAUUUAAAUUUUAAAUUAUAAAGUGAAAUUUUAAUUUAAUUAAAAUUUAUUUAUUUUUAUGAUAUUAAUAAAUUUUAUAAAAAACUAGGAUUAGAUACCCUAUUAUAAAAAUUUAAAUUUAAUAAUCUUGAAAUAGUAUAUAAUUUUUUAUAGAAACUUAAAUAAUUUGGCGGUAUUUUAGUUCAUUUAGAGGAAUCUGUCUAAUAAUUGAUAAUCCACGAUUAAAUUUACUUAAUUUUUAAUUUUGUAUAUCGUUGUUAAAAAAAUAUUUUUAAAUAAAUAUAAUAUUUUAAAAUUUAUAUAAAAAAUUAAAUCAGAUCAAGAUGCAGAUUAUAAUUAAGAAUAUGAUGGAUUACAAUAAAUUUUAUUUUUGAAUAUUAAUUUGUAAAAAUUAAUUGAAAUUGGAUUUAAAUGUAAUUUUAUUAAUUUAAUUAAAAUGAUUUUAAAUUAAAAUAUGUACAUAUUGCCCGUCGCUUUCAUUAAUAAAUUGAAAUAAGUCGUAACAAAGUAGAGGUACUGGAAAGUGUUUCUAGAAAGAU